AGAAGAGUGGUGUUCACACAUUUAACUUCCUCUAUUCUCCUCUACUGGAGUCCUCCCUGUGACGUACUGAAAUAACAAAAAGCUUGAAAACUGCAUCAAACAAAUGAAGAACCUGGAAACGUUUUUUCAUAUUUUUGAUAUUUAAAAGAGACAGGCAAGUUAGAGAUCUUCCAUAUUAAGAUUCAUUCAGCAAGUGUGUUGUUGAUGUCACUAUGAGGAAGUGAGCAGGAAGUCAGUGGUGUAUUCAUCUUUGUUACUGCCUCAUUUGUGAACGUGAGAACAAGAGUACAGACUGAGAGAGACAGAGAAGCAUGAUGGCUGAGUUCAGAUGGAUUCAAAUGCUUCUGUUCCUGAUACUGAUGCUUCAGUUUAAAGCAGCAGUAACUGGACAACGCGGCCCCACAUUCCUGGUCAGAGUUGGUGAUGAAGUCACUUUGCCUUGUCAAAAUGUGACAGUUGGUCAGCCUGAGUGUGGCAGAACUGACUGGUUCUUCAAACGUUUGAAUGUUGCUGAGUCAGUCAGGCUGAUUCAUCUCGGUUUGAUUGAAGAAAAACACAAAAAUAAAUCAGACAGACUGAGUGUUACAGCAAACUGUUCUCUGGUCAUAAAGAACAUCUCAGUUCAUGAUGCUGGUCAGUACACCUGCAGACGCGACACAUCACAAGACCAACGACAAUUUACAGAUUCCUGUUCUUCUCUGUCUGUCAUCAACAUGACUGAACAUGAGAACAGUGGUACAGUCAUCUUGUCCUGCUCUGUGUUGGAGUAUGAUUUAUGUACACACACAGUGCAGUGGAUCUAUGAGGGUGAAGAGAAAUCCUCAGACAUGCCGAUAUCACCACGAGGCUGCACUGUCACUGUGACAUUUACAACAUCUCACCUUAAUAAGACCUUUUUUGAGUUAUUAAAGUGUAAAGUGACAAAUCAGAACAGCAAGAAAGUGCAGCUGUUUCCUUUCAGCCGUCAGUCCUCAGGUGGGACAACAGAUGGGGAUAAAUCAUCAGAUAGCAAAAUAUUUCUUUCUGUCUCUCUUUGUGUUAUCAUUCAUUUUUUACCUUGCUCAGUCAGUCUCAGUGUGUUUCAGUCUCUUUUUACAAAUUAUUGCUUUCAGCUCAUCAUAACCAGUGACCACAUUGAACAUUAUCAUUUGGUUUUACAGAUUUAUUAUAUCCAUCUGUUAUUGUUCCUGUAUGUUUAGUGACACUCUUAAUUUUUGUAGCAUUCAUCAUAUCGAAGAAAAGUAAAGGUGUGAACAUUUUCAUAUUAAACUGAUUAUUAACUGUUUAAUAAAUGAAAAGAAAUGCUCAGACAUGCAGACAUUACCUUCAGGCUGCAUUGCCACUGUGACAUUUACAACAUCUCACCUUAAACAGUUUUUUGAGUUAUCAAAGUGUAAUGUGAUGAAUAAGUACAGUUAGAAAGUGCAGCUGUUUCCUUUCAGUCCUCAGGUGUGAAAAAUAGUGAGCAUAUUAACCUUAAUAACACACAGUGACACAGAGCGGCAAUAUCAUUAUUAUUUUAAAGGUAACAAAGCUUUUCCUAAAAGAACACUUCUUUAAAAAAAUCUGUAUUUGUUCUGAUGGAGCUGCACCAAGAGAUGAAGGUAACGGCAGAAUAUGUUUUUCUGUCUUAAUAUUUAUUUUCCAUGAAUGACACAGCUCUGUUUUUUUCAUUUGUUGUAAAAGUAAAACAUGAUUGUUCUAAAUUUUUACCUUGUGUUUAUUUUUGUGAGAGCAAUUCCACAGUUUGUAAUGAUAUUUAAAUAUUGUAAAUGGAAAUGUACACAGAAAACAUAUACUCACCACAACCUAUAACACCGUCUGUAUUUGUAAUAUGUGAAAUCUUUUUUUUUCUCCACAAAACAAAAAUCUGAAGCAAAACCUGAAGAUUCAGAUUUUCCAUCAUUGUUGAGAUGCAUCAUUGUGUCUGUGGGAUUAGCAGCACUCUUAAUAUCUGCUGUUACAGUCAACAUGUGGGCAAAAACUAAAGGUGAGAACAUUCACAGAUUAAAUUUUUAUACCAGAGAUGUGUUGAUGAAGCUGAAAGUUUACUCUCUUUUAUUUUUAGCAAACAAACCACAAAAGGAAAAAAACACUGUGAGUAUAAACACUGAAUAUUCAGAUAAUUUAUCAUGAUUGUAAUUUUUAUGUUUUUGGAUUUGAAAUCUUCUUUGAUUGUAAUUUAGUGGAUGUAACAUAAAGAUCAUUUUAAAUAAUUUUCAGAAGUUUAAUUUUAAACAACAUUUAAAUCUAAUUAGAGUUUUAGUUUAGAAGUGAUUUGUGUUUUGUGUCAGGCUGGGUUUCAAUAAUCAAUUUUCCAAUUAAAAUCGAUUUUAGCUUGAAUAACGUGAUAUCAAUUCAUUCAAAUCCUGAAUCGAUUUUUAAAUAUAAAUCUAUUUUGCCAGAAACGCCAGAAUCUCAGCUUAAAACUUUCAUUUCAACAACCACCAAACAGCAAAAACAGUAAAUGAUUCCACACACAGACGUAAACACAAAGUGCGGACCUGAAACAUCAGAAUCAGUGAGCUGUCGGCUUUCUCACCUGAUGUGAGGUACACGGACACGUCGUUGGCUGAAAUCCGACAGCUCACAGAUUCUGAUGCUACAGGUUUCAUUACUCACCGACCAAAAUUCACUGAAUCAGCAGCAAAAGAAGAUCCAAACUAUGCUUCUAAUUCCCACCACAGUAAAAUCACACUUCCUACACAGCUCUGUCUCUCUCUCAGUGUACUUUAAGAACAGUUUCCCAUCUCAAAUAUCUGUUUUCUGCUUUAUUCUCUUGCUUAUUACACACCAGCCUACCAUUGUGUACAGUGCUGACGGCCACUGUUUUUUUUGUUUUUUUGGGGGUUUUUUUGGUUUUGUUUUCAAAAAUGACCUCUGACAAGAAAGCCACACAUCUGAAGAAAUUUAAACUUUUUAAAAUUCUUCAAAAUUGCAAAAUUCUUAGUUGUGUCUCUAAUGAAACCUCUGUAACUUUGCUCUGCUUCACUUCAGCAGCAUCAGGUAAUGUUCGUCUGUUGAUUCAUGGUUUUCUUCAGUUUUUGUUCUACUGCAGAAUAUUUUUAAGGUUAUCUGCUAUAAAAAGCCAGGCAAGGAAACUCUUCUUCAUGUUUUUCUGUUUUAUCCUCAGUUACUUGGACACAAAGGCAUUUGCUGUGAUGCUUACACCUCUGAUUAAGUCUUACAAGUGUCAGCUUUCUUUUUAUAGAUAUAAAAAUAGAAGAAAUCAGAGACGAUACCCAGCCCUAGUUUUGUGUGUUCUCUUGUAUCUAGUCGAGUCUUCAUCUCCACAUUAAAUAGUUACUUGUUUAGACACUUCAUGUUAUUUGUUAAUCUCGUGCUUCAGUUUAAAUUUUACUUCCUGUCUGUGAUUGUGUCUGUUUAUCUGUAUCUCAUCUCCACUUCCACAAGUUUUCCCUGUGUGUAUUUAUCUCCUCUUUGUUCCUUUUCAAAUAUUCUGUUGUGUUCUACCAUGUGUUCUCAGCAAGUAAGUUUUUUGUUUCUCUUCACUGGAUUUUUGUAUUCUUGGACUGCUGUCAACCACGUGCAAACAUGUCAUGUUAAAUCCUGCCUGCUUGUUUUGUAGAGUCUGCUUUUGGGUCCCUACAGCUGAUAAAUGCAGUUAUUUGUUCCUAUGAACUGUGAACAUACACACAGGAGAAGACUAAAGAGAAGAAUACACUGUGCUCGCUGUUAGAGUGAAAUUACAUGUUAUCUCAGAAGAGAAUUUUUGGGGGGGUGGUUUUCUAAAGAAAAAAUAAUCUGUGUACGGAGACGAUGCAGACACAAACCUGAAAACUCCAAACAGUCCAAACAUAUGAAUAUCAGUUAUAUGAGACAAUCUAAAGUGUGUUGUGUUGUUUUCCACAGGUGUAGAAUGAUGAAGAUGAAGGUACAGUGACCUAUGAAAACUCUGGAGACCCUUCAGCUUCUGUCAGACUCCACUGAUCAUCAACAUCAACUCAGCAAAGAAACAAGUCGACUUCUGUUGAAGAUCAUCUCAUCACAUUUUAUAUGUGAAGAACACAGACUCACAAGAUUAUUUUAAUAUUUUCACUGUCCUUACACUCCACUUUUCAUCCAAUAAGAUGAGGAUUUUAUCAGACAGUUUUUCCUGCCAUGGUCACAUAAACCUCCCGUGUCGAGCUACAUACCAUCUCCCUCCCUCGGCGUUUACACUUUUUGUCUCUCUAUAUUUUGUGUUUGUGAGAGAGAGACUGAUCAGCUGGUACAUCUGUCUCAAAUACCUAAUCACAGCCAUUUAAACACAGUUUCAUCCAUUCAGUCGUCUCUAGAUUGUUGUGUUAGGUGUGUCUGUAGUAUCACUCAGUCUCCAUAGAAGAACUUUGACUUAUUUGCGAUUCCUGUUUUCUCCACAGACUAAUCUUACAUUGCCUUAAUUUUCCUCCUCCAGAUCAAAUACUCAGUUCUGGAAUAACUGCCUGUUCUUCCUCCACCGCUCACCAAACCCAGCAGCAGGACCCAUUCACCCUCACCUGCAUUUUCAAAGUCUUUGUUAUAAAACUCUCAACCUGAUUCUAGUGUUAAAGCCUGCUUUAAAGUCCAUUUCUUCUGUUUAACAAUAAUAAUAAUCAAAAAGGAAAUGUAGUUUCUAACCUGCAUUUAAAUCUGAAUGAAACAGUUUGAUCUCACCUUCAUCUAACAUGAACAUAGUUGUAGUUGCAGCAUUUACCUGUCAGAGUCUGAAUGACUGAUAGUUCUUAAAUCAUCCGUCACUCAGUGUUAUGUGAUCUGUAACAACUUGUUUUUGUAAUAACUCAUGAAAAUAUAACUGAAAGUAUUUAUGAAGCAUUUUAUAUUGUGUGUGUACAUCUGUGUGUGGACAGCUCACAUUGUGACACCAAUGCAACUGAUGACAAGAGUUUAACUUCACUGUGUGCUUUAUUGGCCUUUUACCCUCAUUAUUAUGUUUUACAAUAAAAGUAUCACAUG
Molecule: long non-coding RNA, 4956 nt
Organism: Oreochromis niloticus (Nile tilapia)
Lineage: Eukaryota; Metazoa; Chordata; Actinopteri; Cichliformes; Cichlidae
Source: Ensembl